This 114-nucleotide non-coding RNA is filed under the name Platyophrya macrostoma. Lineage: Eukaryota; Ciliophora; Colpodea; Cyrtolophosidida; Platyophryidae. The record is from RNAcentral.
AACAAAAACAAAGAAGCAAAAGCGAAGAAGCAGAGGUAAAGGAAAAGAAACAUAGAGAGGACAUUUGGUUGUGGUGUGUGUGUGUUUGUUUGGUUGUUUUUUUCUGUUUUUUUC